GAUGAACGCUGGCGGCGUGCCUAAUACAUGCAAGUCGAGCGAACGGACGAGAAGCUUGCUUCUCUGAUGUUAGCGGCGGACGGGUGAGUAACACGUGGAUAACCUACCUAUAAGACUGGGAUAACUUCGGGAAACCGUAGCUAAUACCGGAUAAUAUUUUGAACCGCAUGGUUCAAAAGUGAAAGACGGUCUUGCUGUCACUUAUAGAUGGAUCCGCGCUGCAUUAGCUAGUUGGUAAGGUAACGGCUUACCAAGGCAACGAUGCAUAGCCGACCUGAGAGGGUGAGAGGCCACACUGGAACUGAGACACGGUCCAGACGACUACGGGAGGCAGCAGUAGGGAAUCUGCCGCAAUGGGCGAAAGACUGAAGGAGAAACGCAGCGUGAGUGAUGAAGGGCUUCGGAUAGUAAAACUCUGUUAUUAGGGAAGAACAUAUGUGUAAGUAACAGUGCACAGCUUGACGGUACCUAAUCAGAAAGACACGGCUAGCUACGUG
This 497-nucleotide ribosomal RNA is filed under the name uncultured bacterium. RNAcentral's name for it is "partial 16S ribosomal RNA". It matches the Rfam family "Bacterial small subunit ribosomal RNA", at positions 28 to 507 of the family's 1533-position model. The record is from RNAcentral.